CUACGGGUCGCAGCAGUGAGGAAUAUUGCACAAUGGGGGGAACCCUGAUGCAGCAACGCCGCGUGGAGGAUGACGCAUUUCGGUGUGUAAACUCCUUUUAUAUGUCAAGAAAAUGACGGUAGCAUAUGAAUAAGCACCGGCUAACUCCGUGCCAGCAGCCGCGGUAAUACGGAGGGUGCAAGCGUUACUCGGAAUCACUGAGCGUAAAGGACGCGUAGGCGGGUUGGUAAGUCAGGUGUGAAAUCCUACAGCUUAACUGUAGAACUGCACUUGAAACUUCUAAUCUAGAGUAUGGGAGGGGGAGAUGGAAUUAGUGGUGUAGGGGUAAAAUCCGUAGAUAUCACUAGGAAUACCUAAAGCGAAGGCGAUCUCCUGGAACAUUACUGACGCUAAGGCGUGAAAGCGUGGGGAGCAAACAGGAUUAGAUACCCCCGUAGUC
This 439-nucleotide ribosomal RNA is filed under the name uncultured bacterium. RNAcentral describes it as "partial 16S ribosomal RNA". It matches the Rfam family "Bacterial small subunit ribosomal RNA", at positions 339 to 795 of the family's 1533-position model. The record is from RNAcentral.